CCUACGGGAGGCUGCAGUGAGGAAUAUUGGUCAAUGGGCGCGAGACUGAACCAGCCAAGUCGCGUGAGGGAAGACGGCCCUAUGGAUUGUAAACCUCUUUUGUGGGGGAGCAAAAGACGCCACGCGUGGCGUUCCGAGAGUACCCGAAGAAAAAGCAUCGGCUAAUUCCGUGCCAGCAGCCGCGGUAAUACGGAGGAUCCGAGCGUUAUCCGGAUUUAUUGGGUUUAAAGGGAGCGUAGGCGGAAGAUUAAGUGAGCGGUAAAAUUGAGGGGCUCAACCUCUUCGAGCCGUGGAAACUGGUUUUCUUGAGUGAGCGAGAAGUAUGCGGAAUGCGUGGUGUAGCGGUGAAAUGCAUAGAUAUCACGCAGAACUCCGAUUGCGAAGGCAGCAUACCGGCGCUCAACUGACGCUCAUGCACGAAAGUGUGGGUAUCGAACAGGAUUAGAUACCCGAGUAGUC
This 459-nucleotide ribosomal RNA is filed under the name uncultured bacterium. Its description in RNAcentral is "partial 16S ribosomal RNA". It matches the Rfam family "Bacterial small subunit ribosomal RNA", at positions 338 to 795 of the family's 1533-position model. The record is from RNAcentral.